GAUGAAGAACGUAGCGAAAUGCGAUAAGUAAUGUGAAUUGCAGAAUUCAGUGAAUCAUCGAAUCUUUGAACGCACAUUGCGCCCCUUGGUAUUCCGGGGGGCAUGCCUGUUCGAGCGUCAUUAUAACCCUCAAGCCUAGCUUGGUGUUGGAGCAUGCUACCUAAUCAGCUCUUAAAAUCAGUGGCAGUGCCCUUCGGCUCUAAGCGUAGUAACUUCUCUCGCUAUGGAACCCGGAGGGUACGCGCCAGAACCCCCAACUUUCUAUGGUUGACCUCGGAUCAGGUAGGGAUACCCGCUGAACUUAAGCAUAUCAAUAAGCGGAGGA
This 325-nucleotide unclassified non-coding RNA is filed under the name soil metagenome. Its description in RNAcentral is "partial contains 5.8S ribosomal RNA, internal transcribed spacer 2, and large subunit ribosomal RNA". The stretch from base 1 to 120 matches the Rfam family "5.8S ribosomal RNA", at positions 35 to 154 of the family's 154-position model. The record is from RNAcentral.